Dromaius novaehollandiae (emu) is the source of this 3496-nucleotide long non-coding RNA. RefSeq lists it as uncharacterized. The transcript has 2 exons. Lineage: Eukaryota; Metazoa; Chordata; Aves; Casuariiformes; Dromaiidae. The record is from RefSeq and is a predicted model, not a curated record.
CGCCGCGGCGGGCCCGGCCGGCACUUACCGGCCGCGGGGCUGCGAGGAGAAGGCGGCGGGCCGGGGCGCGGCGGCGGCGGCGGCGGCAGCUCAGAGUCCCCGGGCCGCUGCCCCGGGCAUGGCGGGGCCUGAGAUCAGGGCCCCGGAGAGGAGGCCGAGCCUGGCGCAGCCGUGGCAGCGACGAGCGUCGACGAGGGGGUCGCGCCACGUCAGCCGCGCCCGGGCUCCCCCGCAGCGCCCGGCUACCCGCCGCGUCCCACGUCCCGGCUGAGGGGCCGCUGGGGCGCCAGCCCCAUGCGGGAGGCCUGGGACUUCCCCAGGCCAGCGGCACAGGAGGGCGAGUUAGCGACCGUGGGGCUUCCGGGGCCUCAAAACACGACGCCCUGAGAUGGGUUUCCGUGCUGUAAUCUCUGUGGUCAUGAUGCCUGUACGUAAUUUGGGGACUUGGUAGAGACCAGAUCUUCCCAAAACGUGCACAUUCCUUAGCGUAGCUCUGUGCCUGAAUUACCCGCACCUUUACAACUUCACACCUUGGUUUCUCUUGCAUCCCUCAACUUCAUCUCUUUUAGGGUUUACAAACAUUUCCAUGUUUCCUCUAAAUAAAGUCUUUAGCCCAGCAAUGCACUUAAACACGUGCUUAACUAAAUUGCUUUAUGUCACUUGCUUAUAAUUAAGCAUAUGCUUAAGUGCUCUGCUGGCUUGAAGCCAAAAUCUGCAUAAACUCCAUUGGGUAAAAUUUACCAGCUUCAUAGGGUUUAGCUUUGUGAGUCAUUCACUCAGCAGCAGCCCAAAGCUUUUUGCCACAAGCUUGGUUGUUCCCAAGUUGUCCUACAGGAUCACCCUGUCUCUAGGACAAGCAAGGCUCAUGCCCUUCAUUCAGGUCCUGUUAGAACCAAGAUGCAUCUGCCUGGUGAGUCAGCAGCACUAAAUGACUUCACGGAGGGUUUCUAGUUCCUUUUCACGAGAUUCAUUAAUAAGGCUCUGCAUCCUUAUGCAGGUCAUAGAUUGUGCCAUGUAGUUACGGUGCAGUAAAUUACAUUAAGAACAAAAUAUUAAUGACAUUAGGGCCCAGUUUGAAGGUCUGCUGUGACUUCAUGCAAUAAGUGUAUUUCAAAAUAAUUACAUUGAGUACUCAAUCUGCAUGAACAGAGGAAGGAGUUAAUAAAAUGUGGUUGCGUUUCAUGCUUUCAUGUAGACUUUUACAUAAAUAUAAGUAGUGUCAUUAACCUGCUUACUGAACAAAAUGGGAAACUUUUUAAUUUCCAAAAAUAGAGUUCUAGAAACUAAAGGAAGAUGAACAUUUAUGCAGCUUUGAAGGAAAAAAAAAAUCAAAGACAAUUAAUUUGGUGACUCUCUUCAUUUUUACCUGUCAAAAAAUCUUUUGAAUUGCAUUAAGUCUGAGUCAGGCAGCUCAGCACUAAAACCUUAUUUUAAAAUACACGGAGGAUUUAAAGCUUUCUGCAGGGUGAGCACAACUCUUUCUCCAAGGACACAUCAAUUGGAACCUGCUUUUCAAAAUUUUGUUUGGCAAUUAACAGUAUAAUAUGAAGAAGAAUGACUGUCUUAUAUUUAAAGCAAAGAAGUGAAACUCAGCAUAUUUGGGUUCUGUUCAUUACUCUUCUGCCAUUCUUCUGUGACCUUAAUCAAGACCUGCUCCAAUUUUCAAAUGUCAGUUUGUGUUAAGGGGUGGGGUUUGUUGUUGUUUUUAAUAAGAACUGUUCUUAAGAGGAACCUAAAAAUUAUAAAGUUCAGUGGGAAUCUUACAGGGCUUUGUUCAUCUGACAGUCUAGCAAGAUGAAUACCCCCACACUGGGGCAAAUGUAGUUACAGGGUACUUCGGAACUUGGACCUUUACCUCUUUGCCACCAAUGUUUUUCAAAUGAGGAUGAUAAUUCCUCACCGAGUUGCACAGUUAUGACACUGAAGUUGUUAAGAUUAGUGUUUUGGCAUAAGAAUAUUAAAUAAUAUGCAAAACCAAAAAUCAGUAACUUGUCUGUAAAUGACAGACAAACUCAGCUUUUCCAUAGGGAAAAAAUAUGAUAGUAUUUAAUAUAGUCUUAUCUCUCCCUUCUGAAUUCCAGAAGUUUCCCACCCAUGAGAAACCCUCUAAUAGGCGAUGCAGCAUGGAACGGAAUACAUUUCAGUUUAAUUUGUUUUAGGAGGGCUAAGUAAUGGAAAGUAGGAGGUACUUCUCAGCCUUUUCUGUAUAAGCCCAGAGACUGAGGAAAAAUGGAAAGCACAAGUAAACUAUCUUUUAAAAGGAGCGGCUAUAGGGAAUCUUUGGAGGAAAUGUGUGUUUUAAAGGGUCUUAAAGAAGAAGUGUCUGUAGAAAAGAGUCUGUAGAACAAGCAGAACCAUCCAAUUUUACUUCCUUCCUGACAAACUGAAGGAUUUCAUUCAGGAGUUUCUGCAUCAAGCCAGUAACUUGCAGUGAAGCAACAGCUGACCUAGACAGAUCCAGUCUUGGAAUUCGAGAGAAAGAAAUCCACCCGUUACGCAGGUUUUCCACAUGCUUCCUUAGCUUAGCUGUUAAAGUUAUGCCUUCGUACUUGUCUGAAUUCAUCUAGCCUCAGCUAUUGGAUUUAAGGAUUGUCUAUCAGCAUUCUUACAUCUAUUUUCCAGGUCUUGUUUUAUCUUUGUAGCUCUUUUUAAAACCCUUCACAGUUUUUCAAGAUGUGUUUUUUUGUUUGUUUGUUUGUUUGUUUGGAAAUGUGGUUGUUAGUGUGGACCUACUAUUUAGCCCACAGACAGAGAUGAAACUACACUUGUUAGUUCAUUUUCCCAUAUGCCAAAUAGCCUCAUAACCUUUUAGCUUUGCGGUGGUGUGCAAAGUCUCGCAAUGUGGCUUGUCCUACUGACUCUGCUCAAGGUGAAGUUACUUUGAUUCCUUUCUGUCCUUCCUCAUGCAAAAGACAGAUACAACUUGUCUGCCUUCUCCCCCUUCCCAUACAAAAGUCACAGUUCACAGUUAAUAGUCUCAUUCCUUCAAAUACACACACUUCACUUCUCUCAAGUAAAAACAGUUCUAUUGAACUGUUUGUGUGUGUAAGUGAUCAGAGGAUCAGGGCCAAAGGAAACGUGAAAAGCAAUGUGCAUAUUAAGUAUCAGUAUUAUCCUUGAGUAUUUUAUAACCAUGUUAAAUCUCAAAAGAAACAGAUUUUAAGAUUAUUAUUAAAGAAUUCAUAUCAAUAAUUUAUAGAUAGAGAGCAUUACCUGAGAAAAUUUUGUAUUCUCCAAACAAGGUAUUUGCAAACAGGAAAUUCAAAACCAAGGUAAAUACAAGAGAAAAUUUGAUGUAUUAAGGAAUGGAAGUGCACAUUUCAUCUUGCUAAACAAUGUUAAACCUACCUUUUCUGUGCUUGUGCAAUCAUCAAACAAUUGAUGUUAAUAACUUUGGUGCAGGAUAAGAAUAGCCUGACUUUCAGAGAUAACAGAUGUGUUCUCUCCCCCCUGCCUUGGGUUGUUCUUUUAAUAUUAAAAACUAGUUCUAGCUUUA